Long non-coding RNA from Myotis davidii, 101 nucleotides. RefSeq lists it as uncharacterized. Lineage: Eukaryota; Metazoa; Chordata; Mammalia; Chiroptera; Vespertilionidae. The record is from RefSeq and is a predicted model, not a curated record. The transcript is spliced from 4 exons.
UUGUUGUAGGAGCAGAAACAGCUGCUUUCAGAUUACUUAGUUCCUGCUGGAUUAGUUUCUCUUCCUCCUGAAAAACUGUAUUCCCAAGAAGAAGCAAAAGU